CGUACACUCCUGCGGGAGGCAGCAGUAGGGAAUCUUCCACAAUGGGUGCAAACCUGAUGGAGCAAUGCCGCGUGAGUGAAGAAGGUCUUCGGAUCGUAAAGCUCUGUUGUUAGAGAAGAACACGUGCUAGGUAACUACUAGCGCCUUGACGGUAUCUAACCAGAAAGUCACGGCUAACUACGUGCCAGCAGCCGCGGUAAUACGUAGGUGACAAGCGUUGUCCGGAUUUAUUGGGCGUAAAGGGAGCGCAGGCGGUCUGUUUAGUCUAAUGUGAAAGCCCACGGCUUAACCGUGGAACGGCAUUGGAAACUGACAGACUUGAAUGUAGAAGAGGAAAAUGGAAUUCCAAGUGUAGCGGUGGAAUGCGUAGAUAUUUGGAGGAACACCAGUGGCGAAGGCGAUUUUCUGGUCUAACAUUGACGCCGAGGCUCGAAAGCGUGGGGAGCGAACAGGAUUAGAUACCCGUGUAGUCCCA
RNAcentral lists this ribosomal RNA (475 nucleotides) under uncultured organism. RNAcentral's name for it is "partial 16S ribosomal RNA". It matches the Rfam family "Bacterial small subunit ribosomal RNA", at positions 330 to 797 of the family's 1533-position model. The record is from RNAcentral.